CUUCUCGUAGUUCAGUUGGAUAGAACGCCAGUUUGCGGAACUGGAGGUCACAGGUUCGAAUCCUGCCGAGAAGGCCA
This 77-nucleotide transfer RNA is filed under the name Methanobacteriota archaeon. RNAcentral describes it as "Euryarchaeota archaeon tRNA-Arg". It matches the Rfam family "tRNA". From Rfam's summary of the family: Transfer RNA (tRNA) molecules are approximately 80 nucleotides in length. Their secondary structure includes four short double-helical elements and three loops (D, anti-codon, and T loops). Further hydrogen bonds mediate the characteristic L-shaped molecular structure. tRNAs have two regions of fundamental functional importance: the anti-codon, which is responsible for specific mRNA codon recognition, and the 3' end, to which the tRNAs corresponding amino acid is attached (by aminoacyl-tRNA synthetases). tRNAs cope with the degeneracy of the genetic code in two manners: having more than one tRNA (with a specific anti-codon) for a particular amino acid; and 'wobble' base-pairing, i.e. permitting non-standard base-pairing at the 3rd anti-codon position. Lineage: Archaea; Methanobacteriati; Methanobacteriota. The record is from RNAcentral.